This 493-nucleotide ribosomal RNA is filed under the name uncultured soil bacterium. RNAcentral's name for it is "bacterial SSU rRNA". It matches the Rfam family "Bacterial small subunit ribosomal RNA", at positions 43 to 525 of the family's 1533-position model. The record is from RNAcentral.
CAGGCCUAACACAUGCAAGUCGAACGGCAGCACAGAGGAGCUUGCUCCUUGGGUGGCGAGUGGCGGACGGGUGAGGAAUACAUCGGAAUCUACUCUGUCGUGGGGGAUAACGUAGGGAAACUUACGCUAAUACCGCAUACGACCUACGGGUGAAAGCAGGGGAUCUUCGGACCUUGCGCGAUUGAAUGAGCCGAUGUCGGAUUAGCUAGUUGGCGGGGUAAAGGCCCACCAAGGCGACGAUCCGUAGCUGGUCUGAGAGGAUGAUCAGCCACACUGGAACUGAGACACGGUCCAGACUCCUACGGGAGGCAGCAGUGGGGAAUAUUGGACAAUGGGCGCAAGCCUGAUCCAGCCAUACCGCGUGGGUGAAGAAGGCCUUCGGGUUGUAAAGCACUUUUAUCGGGAACGAAAUACCAUUGGUUAAUAACCGGUGGGGCUGACGGUACCCGAGGAAUAAGCACCGGCUAACUUCGUGCCAGCAGCCGCGGUAAUA